AUGAUACAUAUAUGCCUUCUAUUCACUGUGCCGUCUGUGGACACUGGGACUCUUCCCAUGUCGCGAGAUAGACGAUCAGAGGGGAAAAGAAGAGCUAGAUCCAAGUCAAACAACCAUGAGCGUCCUCAUACCGACUAGCGUACCUAACUGUCCGCUGCCCUCUGGAGUGGCCCGCCCCAAUGCAACAACA
RNAcentral lists this small nucleolar RNA (190 nucleotides) under Huiozyma naganishii CBS 8797. Its description in RNAcentral is "Kazachstania naganishii CBS 8797 Small nucleolar RNA snR8". It matches the Rfam family "Small nucleolar RNA snR8", at positions 1 to 148 of the family's 184-position model. The record is from Rfam by way of RNAcentral. Lineage: Eukaryota; Fungi; Ascomycota; Saccharomycetes; Saccharomycetales; Saccharomycetaceae.